Molecule: ribosomal RNA, 1524 nt
Filed under: Anthocoris chibi
Lineage: Eukaryota; Metazoa; Arthropoda; Insecta; Hemiptera; Anthocoridae
Description: SSU rRNA
Rfam family: Eukaryotic small subunit ribosomal RNA
Source: RNAcentral
GGUAGGGGCGCUUUUAUUGGUCCAAGACCAUUCGCCCGGCCGGGCGUCUCCUUGAUGAAUCCAAAUAACACAGAUCGCAUGGUCUCCGUACCGGCGACUUAUCUUUCAAAUGCCUGACUUAUCAACUGACGAUGGUAGACUCUGUGUCUACCAUGGCUCCUACGGGUAACGGGGAAUCAGGGUUCGAUUCCGGAGAGGGAGCCUGAGAAACGGCUACCACAUCCAAGGAAGGCAGCAGGCACGCAAAUUACCCACUCCCGGCACGGGGAGGUAGUGACAAAAAAUAACGAUACGGGACUCGAUAUGAGGCCCCGUAAUCGGAAUGAGUACACUUUAAACCCUUAUUCAAAUAUCAAUUGGAGGGAAAGUCUGGUGCCAGCAGCCGCGGUAAUUCCAGCUCCAAUAGCGUAUAUUAAAGUUGUUGCGGUUAAAAAGCUCGUAGUUGGUUCUGCGUCCCACGCUGUCGGUACACCUUUUGUUGGUGACACUGGCAUGCCGUGGUAUGUCCUGUCGGUGGCGGCCCGGAUAAAACGGUCGCCGGCUACUAUCCUACCGCGGUGCUCUUCAUUGAGUGUCGAGGUAGGCCGACACGUUUACUUUGAACAAAUUUGAGUGCUUAAAGCAGGCAAAAAUCUCUGCCUGAAUAGUGGUGCAUGGAAUAAUGGAACAGGCCCUUGGUUCUAUUUUGUUGGUCUUCGGAACACAAGGAAAUGAUCAAUGUGGACAGGCGGGGGCAUUCGUAUUGCGGCGUUAGAGGUGAAAUUCUUGGUUGCAAGACGCACUAGAGCGAAAGCAUUUGCCAAGUAUGUCUAGUAAGUGCAGUCCCGCCGAUGUUCCUCCGAUGACUCGGCGGGGAGCUUUCUUCGGGAAACCAAAGCUUUUGGGUUCCGGGGGAAGUAUGGUUGCAAAGCUGAAACUUAAAGGAAUUGACGGAAGGGCACCACAAGGAGUGGAGCCUGCGGCUUAAUUUGACUCAACACGGGAAACCUCACCAGGUCAAGACAUUGGAAUGAUUGACAGAUUGAUAGCUCUUUCUUGAUUCAGUGGGUAGUGGUGCAUGGCCGUUCUUAGUUGGUGGAUCGAUUUGUCUGGUUAAUUCCGAUAACGAACGAGACUCUAGCCAAUUAACUAGACGUUUCCGGUAUCGAAGCUACCGGCGAUAUAUAAUCUUCUUAGGGGGACAGGCGGCUCUUAGCCGCACGAGAUUGAGCAAUAACAGGUCUGUGAUGCCCUUAGAUGUCCUGGGCCGCACGCGCGCUACACUGAAGGAAUCAGCCUGUUCGUUCCCUUGGCCGAAAGGCCCGGGUAACCCGCUGAACCUCCUUCGUGCUAGGAAUUGGGGCUUGCAAUUGUUCCCCAUGAACGAGGAAUUCCUAGUAAGCGCGAGUCAUAAGCUCGCGUUGAUUACGUCCCUGCCCUUUGUACACACCGCCCGUCGCUACUACUGAUUGGAUGAUUUAGUGAGGUCUUCGGACCGGCGGUAAGCCCCUCCGACUGUCGAACGCUGGAAAGAUGACCAAACUU